GACGAACGCUGGCGGCGUGCCUAACACAUGCAAGUCGAGCGGAACACUAGUAAUAGUGUUUAGCGGCGGACGGGUGAGUAACACGUGGGCAACCUGCCCUUGAGAGGGGGAUAACACGGAGAAAUUCGUGCUAAUACCGCAUAAUCUUUGAUUGUCGCAUGGCAGUCUUAGCAAAGAUUUAUCGCUCAAGGAUGGGCCCGCGUCCCAUUAGUUAGUUGGUGAGGUAACGGCUCACCAAGACGACGAUGGGUAGCCGACCUGAGAGGGUGAUCGGCCACAUUGGAACUGAGACACGGUCCAGACUCCUACGGGAGGCAGCAGUGGGGAAUAUUGCACAAUGGGGGAAACCCUGAUGCAGCAACGCCGCGUGAGCGAUGAAGGCCUUCGGGUUGUAAAGCUCUGUCUUCGCUGACGAUAAUGACGGUAAGCGAGGAGGAAGCCACGGCUAACUACGUGCCAGCAGCCGCGGUAAUACGUAGGUGGCAAGCGUUGUCCGGAAUUACUGGGCGUAAAGGGUGCGUAGGCGGUUCAUUAAGUGGGAUGUGAAAUACCCGGGCUCAACUCGGGAACUGCAUUCCAAACUGGUGAGCUAGAGUGCAGGAGAGGAAAGUGGAAUUCCCAGUGUAGCGGUGAAAUGCGUAGAGAUUGGGAGGAACACCAGUGGCGAAGGCGACUUUCUGGACUGUAACUGACGCUGAGGCACGAAAGUGUGGGGAGCAAACAGGAUUAGAUACCCUGGUAGUCCACACUGUAAACUAUGAGUACUAGGUGUAGGGGGCGAAGCCCUCUGUGCCGCAGUUAACACAUUAAGUACUCCGCCUG
This 822-nucleotide ribosomal RNA is filed under the name uncultured bacterium. RNAcentral's name for it is "bacterial SSU rRNA". It matches the Rfam family "Bacterial small subunit ribosomal RNA", at positions 28 to 875 of the family's 1533-position model. The record is from RNAcentral.